CUAGUUGGUGAGGUAACGGCUCACCAAGGCGACGACGGGUAGCUGGUCUGAGAGGAUGGCCAGCCACAUUGGGACUGAGAUACGGCCCAGACUCCUACGGGAGGCAGCAGUGGGGAAUCUUGCGCAAUGGCCUAACGGCUGACGCAGCGACGCCGCGUGAGGGAUGACGCUCUUCGGAGUGUAAACCUCUUUUGCCUGAGACGAAUUGCCAGCUUUAGCUGGUUUGACUGUAUCGGGUGAAUAAGCACCGGCUAACUCCGUGCCAGCAGCCGCGGUAAUACGGGGGGUGCGAGCGUUGUCCGGAAUCACUGGGCGUAAAGGGCGCGUAGGUGGCCUGAUAAGGGUGUGGUGAAAGUCCGGGGCUCAACCCCGGAUCUGCCGUGCCGACUGUCAGGCUAGAGUACUGUAGGGGCAGGCGGAAUUCCGGGUGUAGCGGUGGAAUGCGUAGAGAUCCGGAGGAAGACCGGUGGCGAAGGCGGCCUGCUGGGCAGUUACUGACACUGAGGCGCGACAGCGUGGGGAGCAAACAGGAUUAGAUACCCUGGUAGUCCACGCCGUAAACGAUGGGUACUAGGUGCCUGGGGGAGCGACCCCUUGGGUGCCGGCGCUAACGCAGGAAGUACCCCGCCUGGGGAGUACGGCCGCAAGGCUGAAACUCAAAGGAAUUGACG
Molecule: ribosomal RNA, 671 nt
Filed under: uncultured Gemmatimonadota bacterium
Lineage: Bacteria; Pseudomonadati; Gemmatimonadota
Description: SSU rRNA
Rfam family: Bacterial small subunit ribosomal RNA
Source: RNAcentral